AAAAUUUAAUUUAAUUUAAAUUUUUUUUUUUUUUUAUUCGGGAUGAUAAUACUCGUGACCACUCAUGGUAGACGUCAUGCUCAUUUGACGUGGUUUUUUAUUCCCCGUUGGAAUUUGUAUCGUAAACGAACUGUGGGAGGAAGUAUUGUCGUGCGACGAAGAAUCUUGCUGCUGCAACAACAACGAACUCGCUAGCGUCGUGGAAGAAGAAGAAGCAGAUGAAGUAUGAUCGGUUUCGUACAA
This 243-nucleotide non-coding RNA is filed under the name Thalassionema frauenfeldii. Lineage: Eukaryota; Bacillariophyta; Fragilariophyceae; Thalassionematales; Thalassionemataceae. The record is from RNAcentral.